UAGCCUUGUCAAGGCUAAGUUACAGGUGAAAGCCCCGUAUAUCUCU
Molecule: transfer RNA, 46 nt
Filed under: Camelus dromedarius (Arabian camel)
Lineage: Eukaryota; Metazoa; Chordata; Mammalia; Artiodactyla; Camelidae
Description: partial tRNA-Asp
Source: RNAcentral